AACGAACGCUGGCGGCAUGCCUAACACAUGCAAGUCGAACGGGAUCCUAGCUUGCUAGGUGAGAGUGGCGGACGGGUGAGUAACACGUGGGAAUCUGCCUUUUGGUUCGGGAUAACCGCGGGAAACUGCGGCUAAUACCGAAUGCCCUCGAGAGAGGAAAGAUUUAUCGCCAGAAGAGGAGCCCGCGUCCGAUUAGGUAGUUGGUGGGGUAAAGGCCUACCAAGCCGACGAUCGGUAGCUGGUCUGAGAGGAUGAUCAGCCACACUGGGACUGAGAUACGGCCCAGACUCCUACGGAGGCAGCAGU
This 306-nucleotide ribosomal RNA is filed under the name uncultured bacterium. RNAcentral describes it as "bacterial SSU rRNA". It matches the Rfam family "Bacterial small subunit ribosomal RNA", at positions 29 to 355 of the family's 1533-position model. The record is from RNAcentral.